CCUACGGGUGGCAGCAGUGGGGAAUAUUGGACAAUGGGGGGAACCCUGAUCCAGCGACGCCGCGUGAGUGAAGAAGUAUUUCGGUAUGGAAAGCUCUAUCAGCAGGGAAGUAAGAAAUGACGGUACCUGACUAAGAAGCCUCGGCUAACUACGUGCCAGCAGCCGCGGUAAUACGUAGGGGGCAAGCGUUAUCCGGAUUUACGGGGUGUAAAGGGAGCGUAGACGGCGAUGCAAGUCUGAAGUGAAAGGCGGGGGCCCAACCCCUGGACUGCUUUGGAAACGGUAUGGCUGGAGUGCAGGGGAGGUAAGUGGAAUUCCUAGUGUAGCGGUGAAAUGCGUAGAUAUUAGGAGGAACACCAGUGGCGAAGGCGGCUUACUGGACUGUAACUGACGUUGAGGCUCGAAAGCGUGGGGAGCAAACAGGAUUAGAUACCCCUGUAGUC
RNAcentral lists this ribosomal RNA (443 nucleotides) under uncultured bacterium. Its description in RNAcentral is "partial 16S ribosomal RNA". It matches the Rfam family "Bacterial small subunit ribosomal RNA", at positions 338 to 795 of the family's 1533-position model. The record is from RNAcentral.